This 378-nucleotide ribosomal RNA is filed under the name Nectophryne afra. Its description in RNAcentral is "partial small subunit ribosomal RNA". It matches the Rfam family "Bacterial small subunit ribosomal RNA", at positions 794 to 1384 of the family's 1533-position model. Lineage: Eukaryota; Metazoa; Chordata; Amphibia; Anura; Bufonidae. The record is from RNAcentral.
GCUCAGCCAUAAACUUUUACUUACAUCUUAACCGCCAGGGAACUACGAGCCAAGCUUAAAACCCAAAGGACUUGACGGUACCCCAUAUCCCCCUAGAGGAGCCUGUCCUACAAUCGAUAAUCCACGUUUAACCUCACCACUUCUAGUUAAUCAGCCUGUAUACCUCCGUCGUCAGCUUACCUUGUGAGCGCUAAUUAGUGAGCUCAAUGCUUAUCUACCAGUACGUCAGGUCAAGGUGCAGCAAAUGAAAUGGAAAGAGAUGGGCUACACUUUCUACUUUAGAAAAAACGAAAAACUACCUAUGAAAUCUAGUUAGAAGGCGGAUUUAGCAGUAAAAAGGAACCAAAACAUUCUUUUUAACUUGGCACUGAGGUGCGU